Molecule: ribosomal RNA, 468 nt
Filed under: uncultured bacterium
Lineage: Bacteria
Description: partial 16S ribosomal RNA
Rfam family: Bacterial small subunit ribosomal RNA
Source: RNAcentral
GACGAACGCUGGCGGCGUGCUUAACACAUGCAAGUCGAACGGAAAGGCCCUGCUUUUGUGGGGUGCUCGAGUGGCGAACGGGUGAGUAACACGUGAGUAACCUGCCCUUGACUUUGGGAUAACUUCAGGAAACUGGGGCUAAUACCGGAUAGGAGCUCCUGCUGCAUGGUGUGGGUUGGAAAGUUUCGGCGGUUGGGGAUGGACUCGCGGCUUAUCAGCUUGUUGGUGGGGUAGUGGCUUACCAAGGCUUUGACGGGUAGCCGGCCUGAGAGGGUGACCGGCGACAUGGGGACUGAGGUACGGCCCAGACUCCUACGGGAGGCAGCAGUGGGGAAUAUUGCACAAUGGGCGGAAGCCUGAUGCAGCAACGCCGCGUGCGGGAUGACGGCCUUCGGGUUGUAAACCGCUUUCGCCUGUGACGAAGCGUGAGUGACGGUAAUGGGUAAAGAAGCACCGGCUAACUACGUG